AUCCAAGAUGGCGGAAAGAAAACAGAAGCAUCGAUCGGACAGAUCUGAGAGAAGAUCGAGUUCACACAGGCGAGAGAAAAACCGAAAGUUAAGUGAGACGGAGGAUAUUGAGAGAAGGAAGCAUUACGAGACAUUCUAUGAGCAGCCACCACCAGGAAUAAUAAAGGAACAUGAGGAGAGGCCAGACGACUGCAUUCCUGAUCUUCCUGAAAACCAGGAAGCAAAGAAAUUUCUUGCAACAGCUCCAACAAAAGGCUUAUGGAUGCCACUUGGCAAGGAAGUCAAAGUUAUGAAGUGCUGGAGAUGUAAAGCAUAUGGCCACAGGACAGGGGACAGGGAAUGCCCAUUAUUCAUAAGUGGAAAUCUCAGUUCCGAGAAAUUUAGGAUGGCUCAUGAAGACCCCAUGUAUGAGUUUGUCAAAUCCAACAAAAAAGCUGAGAAAGAAAUCAGGUAUGGAGCUACGCUGAAACGGCUUUUAAGGAAGUUUAUUGAAGGAGAGUGUAGAUAGGGGACGGGGUGGGAGACAUGUUUGAUUUCUGUCCUGUGUCCAUUAGUAGGAGCGUACAGUGAUAUAGGUUCUUUAUAGUGAUAUUCGUACUAUGAGUGAGCCUUUUCAGAGGCUGGCUUGUUUUCGAUAAGCCUGGGGCCAAUCAGGUACGCGUCAUCAGAAUGAAAUAACUGUUCAAGGAAUGGCACAAAAUUUUUCUUUCGUAAACGAUCUUCGCUAUUCCAGCACUAUGAAUCCUGCAGCUUCCAGAUAGACAAGUGAAGCUGCUAUAGUAUUGGUUUUAGAGACGACAAAAGGCGGGAGCGUCUUUAUUUACUGAUAAUAUUUUUACUACUUCUACAGCAUUUAUUAGGAUUGAACUUUCAACUUUGGAAUUCAAAUCAAGAGGCAUGGGGGCAAUUCAGUUAAAACAGCCUGGACAACUUUUCCAUGGAUUAGAAUUGAACAACUGAAAGCGUUAUUGGAGGAAUCUACAACAUCGGAGAGUGAUUCAGAUGAGUCUGACUCGUCCACUGAGAAAAAAAGAAGAAACAAAAGGAAAUCCAAGAAAGAGAAGAAAGUAAAA
This is an RNA transcript of Nematostella vectensis (starlet sea anemone), 1073 nucleotides long. It is a transcript of the gene named retinitis pigmentosa 9 protein homolog, with no coding region annotated. NCBI's taxonomy places the organism in Eukaryota, Metazoa, Cnidaria, Anthozoa, Actiniaria, Edwardsiidae. The record is from RefSeq and is a predicted model, not a curated record. The transcript is spliced from 7 exons.